CUUGCCGUGGAAUUGGGAGAGGUUGAAAACACUGUGCCUGUCAAUGGAUGAAGGUGGCACAGGCUUAGAGAAUUAUACAUAUUUGGAUGUUCAAUUGAGUCCUCACUGCAGAAAUGAGAGGAUGAUUACCAAACUCGGUGAUAUGACAGUAACUUACAGAUUAUCGUAUGAGUUUGAAACAAUGAGAUUCUAUAGUUUUUGUUGAUAAUAUAUCAUUCAGCUGUGCUUCUUUUGCCUUCAAUUUUUUUAUAUAUUUUCUGCUGUGUUUUAUGUAUCAAUAUUUUAGCAUUGCUAACUUAUGGUCCUUUAAGGAGGUAAGUAAGUUUGUUGGUGCUUAAGUGAACUGGGGUGUGAGGUUCAAUGGUUUGAAAGAUGUCAGAUGUCUCAUAUACAGUAAAAAAGGUUUUCUGUUAAAAACUUAAAAUAACUUUGGUUUAUAGGCAGGUUUACAUUUUAAAUUUUCUUCAGAGUCAAUACUUCCUUUGAGGAGGUUCUUUAUGCUUGCAAGGAUGUGCAGUGCAGGACUGUACCUUUCCCUAAGGUGUUGUUCUUCUCUGAAUUUUAUUAUUCAAAUAUCUGUCUUGGACUUCAGAUGUCAAUUGAUUGGGCUUUGUAUUAUGGCGCCUCUUCUUUAUAUCUUGAAAGGAUUGUUCUGCCUCAGUAAUCUUGGAUGCUGUAUACUGAGGUUGACAAUAGUGUGUGAUGUUUAGUUAUAGAAAAGAAGAUAAGAUGAAGAGGAACCAUUGGAGUAUAUGACCUGCGGAGAGUAUGAAAACUUGUACCACUCUGUAAUGGUACAAGUACAACUUGCUACUGAUAAUGUGGAAGUGCUUCAGGGAAUAAGAAAGAAGUAGUUUGGUCUAAAGGAUUUGAACAAGUUGGGAAUUUGAGUGGUUAAAGCUUGGAGGUCCAAAUUUCCAAAUAGUUAGGUCAAUUUGUUUUGCAAGGGGAAGUAUAAUUACAAUUUACAUAAGAGAAAAUUCCACAAAUGAUCACUCAACUAUG
Molecule: long non-coding RNA, 1005 nt
Organism: Rosa rugosa (rugosa rose)
Lineage: Eukaryota; Viridiplantae; Streptophyta; Magnoliopsida; Rosales; Rosaceae
Exons: 3
Source: RefSeq, a predicted model, not a curated record